AUGGCUUCGUCCACUGUCUGGCAGUGCCUUGUUGCUCUCUCCUUCUUGUCCUCCGCCGCCUACGGCUACGGCUACGGGCAGGGCAAUGGCUAUGGCAACGGUAACGGCAACGGCAACAACAAUGGCUACGGCAACGGGCAGCUGGAUCCCAUGUUCUAUGAAAAGAGCUGCCCCGCUCUGGGGUUCAUCGUGCGCGUGAGCAUGAUCAAGGCCGUCCUCACGGAGCGCCGCAUGGGCGCCUCCCUCCUCCGCCUCUUCUUCCAUGACUGCUUUGUUCAGGGCUGUGACGGAUCCAUUCUCCUGGACGACGUGCCGGCGAGUAACUUCACCGGCGAGAAGACCGCCUUCCCCAACGUCAACUCCGUCCGCGGCUUCGAGGUCAUCGACGAUAUCAAGAGGAACGUGGAGUACGUCUGUCCGGGCGUCGUGUCCUGCGCCGACAUCCUCGCCUUGGCCGCACGGGAGGGCACAGUCCUGCUUGGCGGGCCAAGCUGGGCGGUGCCGCUGGGCCGGCGGGACUCGACGACGGCGAGCCUGGACGGCGCGAACAGCGACCUCCCCGGGCCGACGCUAAACCUCACCGAGCUCAUCCAGUCGUUCGCCAACAAGAGCCUGAGCCCGCGCGACCUCACGGCGCUCUCCGGCGCGCACACCAUCGGCUUCUCGCAGUGCGUCUUCUUCCGGGACCACAUCUACAACGACACCAACAUCGACCCCGCGUUCGCCGCGGAGCUACAGCGGAACUGCCCGGCCCCGGCGGGCUCCGGCGACACCAACCUGACGCCGCUCGACGCGCAGACGCGGUUCGUCUUCGACAACGCCUACUACCCCAACCUCGUCGCGCGGCGGGGCCUGCUGCACUCCGACCAGGAGCUCUUCAAUGGCGCCGCCCAGGACGAUUUGGUGCGGCAGUACAGCUCGAACAGCGCGCUCUUCUUCGCCGACUUCGUGGCCGCGAUGAUCAAGAUGGGGAACAUCAGCCCGCUCACCGGAAGCGCCGGCGAGAUCAGGCGCAACUGCAGGGUCGUCAACAGCAGCUGA
Molecule: ribosomal RNA, 1041 nt
Filed under: Triticum aestivum (bread wheat)
Lineage: Eukaryota; Viridiplantae; Streptophyta; Magnoliopsida; Poales; Poaceae
Description: partial small subunit ribosomal RNA
Source: RNAcentral